CUUCCGUAGGGUUACCUGCGGAGGGAUCAUUACCGAGUUUACAACUCCCAAACCCCUGUGAACAUACCUAUACGUUGCCUCGGCGGAUCAGCCCGCGCCCCGUAAAACGGGACGGCCCGCCCGAGGACCCUAAACUCUGUUUUUAGUGGAACUUCUGAGUAAAACAAACAAAUAAAUCAAAACUUUCAACAACGGAUCUCUUGGUUCUGGCAUCGAUGAAGAACGCAGCAAAAUGCGAUAAGUAAUGUGAAUUGCAGAAUUCAGUGAAUCAUCGAAUCUUUGAACGCACAUUGCGCCCGCCAGUAUUCUGGCGGGCAUGCCUGUUCGAGCGUCAUUUCAACCCUCAAGCUCAGCUUGGUGUUGGGACUCGCGGUAACCCGCGUUCCCCAAAUCGAUUGGCGGUCACGUCGAGCUUCCAUAGCGUAGUAAUCAUACACCUCGUUACUGGUAAUCGUCGCGGCCACGCCGUUAAACCCCAACUUCUGAAUGUGACCUCGGAUCAGGUAGGAAUACCCGCUGAACUUAAGCAUAUCAAAGGCCGGGAGGAA
RNAcentral lists this ribosomal RNA (548 nucleotides) under Fusarium sp. ZG-3-1-3. Its description in RNAcentral is "eukaryotic LSU rRNA". The stretch from base 181 to 334 matches the Rfam family "5.8S ribosomal RNA". The record is from RNAcentral. Lineage: Eukaryota; Fungi; Ascomycota; Sordariomycetes; Hypocreales; Nectriaceae.